This 359-nucleotide long non-coding RNA is filed under the name Olea europaea (common olive). RNAcentral's name for it is "long non-coding RNA (OEUR_LNC013100)". The record is from RNAcentral. Lineage: Eukaryota; Viridiplantae; Streptophyta; Magnoliopsida; Lamiales; Oleaceae.
CUGCUGUGGAUCGUUCCACUUUCUCUGGAGGGGCAGCCUCAGUUCCAUCAAAAAAACCCGUAAGGAUAAAUGCAAGAAAAACGCAUCUUAGCUCCAAGAUCUCAGUUUGCACUGGGAGCCUAUUUAUAUAAAUUAUAUAAAAAGGAAAAAGCACCAUAACGUGGUCGAAUGGAUGCUAGGCAACUCUUUUUUAUUAUAAGAUGAACGAAGCUGCAUCGCUCAGCGCAACAAAAAAAUAGCUUAGCUAGAAAAAAAUAGCAUUUCUAGAUAGAUGAAAGCGAAAUCUGCCCUGCCCUGUAUGGAUAGAUGGAUAGAAUGAUAUGCCUGUACUGUCUUCUAAAGUCCCAAGAAAGUAUUCU